This 497-nucleotide ribosomal RNA is filed under the name uncultured bacterium. RNAcentral describes it as "partial 16S ribosomal RNA". It matches the Rfam family "Bacterial small subunit ribosomal RNA", at positions 28 to 507 of the family's 1533-position model. The record is from RNAcentral.
GAUGAACGCUGGCGGCGUGCCUAAUACAUGCAAGUCGAGCGAACGGACGAUAAGCUUGCUUCUCUGAUGUUAGCGGCGGACGGGUGUGUAACACGUGGAUAACCUACUUAUAAUACUGGGAUAACUUCGGGAAACCGGAGCUAAUACCGUAUAAUAUUUUGAACCGCAUGGUUCAAAAGUGAAAGUCGGUCUUGCUGUCACUAAUAGAUGCAUCCCCGCUGCUUUAGCUAGUUGGUAAGGUAACGGCUUACCACGGCGACUAUGCAUAGCCGACCUGAGAGAGUGAUCGGCCACCCUGGAACUGAGACACGGUCAAUACUCCUACGGGAGGCAGCAGUAGGGAAUCUGCCGCAGCGGGCGGAAGCCUGACGGAGCGACGCCGCGUGAGUGAUGAAGGGCUUCGGUGCGUAAAACUCUGUUAUGAGGGAAGAACAUAUUUGUAAGUAACUGUGCACAGCGUGACGGUACCUAAUAAGAAAGCCACGGCUAACUACGUG